Molecule: ribosomal RNA, 468 nt
Filed under: uncultured bacterium
Lineage: Bacteria
Description: partial 16S ribosomal RNA
Rfam family: Bacterial small subunit ribosomal RNA
Source: RNAcentral
GACGAACGCUGGCGGCGUGCUUAACACAUGCGAGUCGAACGGAAAGGCCCUGCUUUUGUGGGGUGCUCGAGUGGCGAACGGGUGAGUAACACGUGAGUAACCUGCCCUUGACUUUGGGAUAACUUCAGGAAACUGGGGCUAAUACCGGAUAGGAGCUCCUGCUGCAUGGUGGGGGUUGGAAAGUUUCGGCGGUUGGGGAUGGACUCGCGGCUUAUCAGCUUGUUGGUGGGGUAGUGGCUUACCAAGGCUUUGACGGGUAGCCGGCCUGAGAGGGUGACCGGCCACAUUGGGACUGAGAUACGGCCUAGACUCCUACGGGAGGCAGCAGUGGGGAAUAUUGCACAAUGGGCGGAAGCCUGAUGCAGCAACGCCGCGUGCGGGAUGACGGCCUUCGGGUUGUAAACCGCUUUCGCCUGUGACGAAGCGUGAGUGACGGUAAUGGGUAAAGAAGCACCGGCUAACUACGUG